Mycena leptocephala is the source of this 86-nucleotide non-coding RNA. The record is from the annotation of a GenBank genome assembly. Lineage: Eukaryota; Fungi; Basidiomycota; Agaricomycetes; Agaricales; Mycenaceae.
ACCCACACGGUGCGGUGGUCGCAUCCCUUGAUCCAAUCUGGCAUGAUUAUAUCAAGGAGACGCGGGUUCGAAUCCCGCUGUGGGCG